GGCAUCAUCUUCUGUUUAAGAAGAGGUAAAGCCCAGAAUGCUCCAGGCAGCCCAUCUACAGUUCACGUUCGAGGGAAGAGCGUAAUACCAAACUGAUUCAGGAAGCCUUUUCAGCAGAUUUUGCAGGUCAGCUGGCCUUGGCUGUAAGCUGUAGGUUGAAUCCAGGUCUGCUCCACGCGUCUUGCAUCCCUUUGAGACCAGUGGCUGCCUGGAGCAUGCUCUUCUCAUAGUGAAUGGCAGGAGCUCAAGAGAAGCCCACCCAUGCAGGCACUCUGCUCACAUCACACCCAUUCAAGUUCUGUUGGCCAAGGGAGAAAAUGAACUGAGUUGCAGUCAAUUAAAUAGAAGAGGAUCUGCUGAUUUGGGCGUUAACACUUCCAACCUGACUCAGGUUUGAAAAGAGCCUUAAGUAUUUCCCAUAAUAACCUAGACCUAAGAAUUGUGGGAAAGGGUUCUCCCUUAUAUACCUGAGAAAGGGUGACAGGCAAGAACCUAAAUUUUCUCUCCCAUGCCUGGGUGUGGAGGGAUAGGGCAGAAAAGGAAGAGCUUAUCUAAGGACAUCAUGGCAUCCCUCUGUCUAACACCUCACGCUGUCCUGCAGGGAGCAAAAGAAUGCAGCUUUGGGGGCCAUUCAGUUAGAAGCCAGCUGUAGAGUGGACACGGGGAUAAGGUGGUAUUCCUAAUCGUGUCCCUGGUGCUCCAGGUGGGUGGGCAGGGUGAUAUUUCCGAGCCCCUGGCCGGAUCUCAUUUAAAUGGUGGGGACACUCUGUACCUGUAGCAAAUCCUGCUGGAAAGGCAUGAUCCAGGGCGGGUGGGGACCAUGGACCAGCAGAGAGCUUCCUGGUCAGCGUGGUAGAGUCAAGUGGGUCCUGGCAGGCAGGUGAGCAGGGCAGUCUGGGAUGCUGCUGUUAUCACCGCAUCCUUGGAAGGCUGUGUCCCUCAACCAAGUUGGUGUGACAGUUAUGGAGAGAGGGUUAAGCCAGAUGCACUGGGGUAGAGAAGGGGCCAGGUGGGGCCUUGGAGGUGAUGAACAGGUGGCUUCCUUCUGCCACAGCCAUUGCGCCAUGGGAAGCAGGGCAAAGCAGGGAAUGAACAUGAUCCCAUGCCUGCCCCUUACCAGCUAUGUGACAAGGGCACAUUGUUUCCUUUCCCUGGGCUCAAGGCCCUCAUCUGUUAUCUGGAGAGGUUAGAUUCCAUCCUUUCACUCAACAGAUAUUAGUGGAGGAUCCAUGAUGAGCCAGGUGCUAUUCUAAGGCCUUGGAGAUCUACAUAUGAAAAGGAUAAAAGUUAUCAAUGAAAAUUAGAUUUGGCCCUAUAUAACAGAAAGCCCAAAGAACAGCAGCUUAGGUCAAAUAGGGGAUUUGCUUAUUUGUGUCACUUAAAGCAAGUCUAAAGACCCCAGAUCAGAGCUGGCACAGUGGCCUCAU
Molecule: non-coding RNA, 1427 nt
Organism: Delphinapterus leucas (beluga whale)
Lineage: Eukaryota; Metazoa; Chordata; Mammalia; Artiodactyla; Monodontidae
Source: RefSeq, a predicted model, not a curated record